AGCUAGGUCAAGUGCAGUGGUGUUUGCAACUAAUUGAUCACAGCCAGUUACAGAUUCCUUUGUUCCUUCAUUCCCACUGCUUCACUUGACUAGCCUUUA
This 99-nucleotide Y RNA is filed under the name Prolemur simus (greater bamboo lemur). RNAcentral describes it as "Y RNA (ENSPSMG00000020113.1)". It matches the Rfam family "Y RNA". Rfam says of the family: Y RNAs are components of the Ro ribonucleoprotein particle (Ro RNP), in association with Ro60 and La proteins. The Y RNAs and Ro60 and La proteins are well conserved, but the function of the Ro RNP is not known. The record is from Rfam by way of RNAcentral. Lineage: Eukaryota; Metazoa; Chordata; Mammalia; Primates; Lemuridae.